GACGUAGGGCGCGAGCGUUGUCCGGAUUUAUUGGGCGUAAAGAGCUCGUAGGCGGCUUGCCGCGUCGACCGUGAAAACUUGGGGCUCAACCCCAAGCCUGCGGUCGAUACGGGCAGGCUCGAGUUCGGUAGGGGAGACUGGAAUUCCUGGUGUAGCGGUGAAAUGCGCAGAUAUCAGGAGGAACACCGGUGGCGAAGGCGGGUCUCUGGGCCGAUACUGACGCUGAGGAGCGAAAGCGUGGGGAGCGAACAGG
Molecule: ribosomal RNA, 253 nt
Filed under: uncultured bacterium
Lineage: Bacteria
Description: partial 16S ribosomal RNA
Rfam family: Bacterial small subunit ribosomal RNA
Source: RNAcentral